GAAGAAAAAGCAUCGGCUAACUCCGUGCCAGCAGCCGCGGUGAUACGGAGGAUGCAAGCGUUAUCCGGAAUCAUUGGGCGUAAAGGGUCCGCAGGUGGCGAAUAAAGUCUGCUGUUAAAGACCGGGGCUUAACUCCGGAAAGGCAGUGGAAACUGAUUAGCUAGAGUACGGUAGGGGUAGAGGGAAUUCCCAGUGUAGCGGUGAAAUGCGUAGAUAUUGGGAAGAACACCGGUGGCGAAAGCGCUCUACUAGGCCGAAACUGACACUGAGGGACGAAAGCUAGGGUAGCGAAAGGGAUUAGAUACCCCUGUAGUCUUAGCGGUAAACGAUGGAUACUAGGUGUAGCUUGUAUCGACCCGAGCUGUGCCGAAGCUAACGCGAUAAGUAUCCCGCCUGGGGAGUACGCACGCAAGUGUGAAACUCAAAGGAAUUGACGGGGGCCCGCACAAGCGGUGGAGUAUGUGGUUUAAUUCGAUGCAACGCGAAGAACCUCACCAGGGCUUGACAUGUCGCGAAUCUAGCGGAAACGUUAGAGUGCCUUAGGGAAUGCGAACACAGGUGGUGCAUGGCUGUCGUCAGCUCGUGUCGUGAGAUGUUGGGUUAAGUCCCGCAACGAGCGCAACCCUCGUCCUUAGUUGCCAAUAUUAAGUUAGGCACUCUAGGGAGACUGCCGGGGACAACUCGGAGGAAGGUGGGGAUGACGUCAAGUCAGCAUGCCCCUUACGUCCUGGGCGACACACGUACUACAAUGGUUGGGACAAAGGGCAGCAAGCUCGCGAGAGUAAGCGAAUCUCAUCAAACCCAGCCACAGUUCAGAUUGCAGGCUGCAACUCGCCUGCAUGAAGUAGGAAUCGCUAGUAAUCGCAGGUCAGCAUACUGCGGUGAAUUCGUUCCCGGGCCUUGUACACACCGCCCGUCACACCAUGGAAGCUGGCUACGCCCGAAGUCGUUACCCUAACCCGGUUUUGGGAGGGGGAUGCCGAAGGUAGAGCUAGUGACUGGGGUGAAGUCGUAACAAGGUAGCCGUACCGGAAGGUGUGGCUGGAUCACCUCCUUU
RNAcentral lists this ribosomal RNA (1057 nucleotides) under uncultured cyanobacterium. RNAcentral describes it as "bacterial SSU rRNA". It matches the Rfam family "Bacterial small subunit ribosomal RNA", at positions 481 to 1533 of the family's 1533-position model. The record is from RNAcentral. Lineage: Bacteria; Bacillati; Cyanobacteriota.